GAGGGACGGGCCCCGGGGCCCGGCCCAGGCACGUGGAGCCGGCGCUGCUUCUCCGGGUCCCCGCAUCCCGACCCGAGUCGCCCGCACUCACCGCGCCGCCUGCGCCUGGGACCGGGUGGCCCUGCGACCCAGUGCGUCCCUGCCGGGCUCUCGGCCCCAGUGGUCACCCUCGGACGCCGCCGGUGGAACGCGGGUCCCAGAACUGAUCACGCUGACACGGCCGCUUAGCUGACUCACCGAGCGCCAGGGCGCAGGACGUGGCGAGCAAGGCUGAGGCAGCGCUCUCUCCCGCCCGCCCGCCUGUGGGCACCGCGGACUUUCCUGACAGAGUUUUUCC
RNAcentral lists this long non-coding RNA (337 nucleotides) under Cavia porcellus (domestic guinea pig). RNAcentral's name for it is "lncRNA (ENSCPOG00000030425.1)". Lineage: Eukaryota; Metazoa; Chordata; Mammalia; Rodentia; Caviidae. The record is from RNAcentral.